UACGGAGGGCGCGAGCGUUAAUCGGAAUUACUGGGCGUAAAGCGCGCGUAGGCUGUUGUGUAAGUUGGGGGUGAAAUCCCACGGCUCAACCGUGGAACAGCCCUUGAUACUGCGCGACUCGAAUCCGGGAGAGGGUGGCGGAAUUCCAGGUGUAGGAGUGAAAUCCGUAGAUAUCUGGAGGAACAUCAGUGGCGAAGGCGGCCACCUGGACCGGUAUUGACGCUGAGGCGCGAAAGCGUGGGGAGCAAACAGG
RNAcentral lists this ribosomal RNA (253 nucleotides) under uncultured bacterium. Its description in RNAcentral is "partial 16S ribosomal RNA". It matches the Rfam family "Bacterial small subunit ribosomal RNA", at positions 524 to 776 of the family's 1533-position model. The record is from RNAcentral.